This 787-nucleotide long non-coding RNA is filed under the name Homo sapiens (human). RNAcentral's name for it is "HSALNT0023860". Lineage: Eukaryota; Metazoa; Chordata; Mammalia; Primates; Hominidae. The record is from RNAcentral.
CUGUGUUGGAGUGGCACCAGGAGUCUGCGCUUCUGCCAGCUGCAAUUUCUCCUUGUACCCGCUGGAAGCCAACCAGGAUGGCUGCCGGCCUGGUCCUGCCGAGUCCUGUCCCUUGUUGAUGGGCUCCAGGGAGCAAUUGGCCCUGGGCCUGGCAGCCCACCUGACCUCCCUGCAUUAUCCGCUGUCUGUCACUUGUCAUCGGGUUCAGAACCAGGACCUUCUGCCUUGGCCUCCUACCUGCAUGAGUGGCUGGCCACUCUUAGCAUCCACUGCCCACCCUCUGUGGCCACAGGCGAUUCUGCUAAUCUGAGCCAUCUGUGCAUCUUGAUCACAAGGAAGAUACCACCCUAAGCCUCCAAGGCCAGUUGGCCAAACAGAGAUUUGGCCACUCCUCCAGGAAGAGGUUUCUCACUAUGUCAGACGCAUCUCUGUCAGAAGCCCUUGCAAACAGUCAAACCAUUUUGUACUAUCAUUUCUGAUACGCAGCUCAAGAGGCACCAUGGGUACAAUCACAUCUGACAUAAUAUAGCUGCUAGAACACUUGGCCUGGCAGUUUUAGAAAGGGACUUUCAUGAUUAAAACACUCUUUCUCAGGGCAGCAUCUGCGAUGCCACCUACAUCUUUUGCCUGAGGGAUUCCCAGAGGGUCAAUAUCACCUCCUUUUCCCUUCUUUUGCUAACUCAGUGAAGAAAGAGCAAAGAUGAGUGAGUCAGAGCUUGGGAUAAAUUAUUACACAUAUGUCUGUGCAUGUUUGCAUCUGAGAAUAAAUGAAAGAAAAAUUAACCUG